ACAGGACAGCAAAUCUAAACAUUAAUUUGGAUAAACUAUUAAACCAGGUAUUUUCACAAAAAGAACAAUCUGAGAUACCUGAACAGCGUGAGCCGGCACCCUGGACACCCACACACCCCAAUAAUUCCCCUUCAAAGAGCGAGCCACAUGGGAAGAUUGUUGUCAUUCACUUGCAAGGGGAGAUUCCAGUGCGUCCAGAGGUCUGGGCAAAAAUAAAAAACAACACAAGGGACUCCAUGUUCGUGAAGGAGUUGGCUGUGGCGUUUUGGGGCACCGACACCUUAGGGGAAAGGAGCCUGACUGGAAAGGAAUGCCCCACCACCAAGACCACCA
Molecule: long non-coding RNA, 333 nt
Organism: Gymnodraco acuticeps
Lineage: Eukaryota; Metazoa; Chordata; Actinopteri; Perciformes; Bathydraconidae
Exons: 3
Source: RefSeq, a predicted model, not a curated record